RNAcentral lists this ribosomal RNA (658 nucleotides) under Staphylococcus haemolyticus. Its description in RNAcentral is "partial 23S ribosomal RNA". It matches the Rfam family "Bacterial large subunit ribosomal RNA", at positions 1 to 655 of the family's 2925-position model. Lineage: Bacteria; Bacillati; Bacillota; Bacilli; Caryophanales; Staphylococcaceae. RNAcentral also lists the same sequence under 2 other names. The record is from RNAcentral.
GAUUAAGUUAUUAAGGGCGCACGGUGGAUGCCUUGGCACUAGAAGCCGACGAAGGACGUUACUAACGACGAUAUGCUUUGGGUAGCUGUAAGUAAGCGUUGAUCCAGAGAUUUCCGAAUGGGGGAACCCAGCACGAGUUAUGUCGUGUUAUCGACAAGUGAAUUCAUAGCUUGUCAGAAGGCAGACCCGGAGAACUGAAACAUCUUAGUACCCGGAGGAAGAGAAAGAAAAAUCGAUUCCCUGAGUAGCGGCGAGCGAAACGGGAAGAGCCCAAACCAAUAAGCUUGCUUAUUGGGGUUGUAGGACACUCUAUACGGAGUUACAAAGGAAUAUAUUAGACGAAUCAUCUGGAAAGUUGAAUCAAAGAAGGUAAUAAUCCUGUAGUUGAAAAUAUAUUCUCUCUUGAGUGGAUCCUGAGUACGACGGAGCACGUGAAAUUCCGUCGGAAUCUGGGAGGACCAUCUCCUAAGGCUAAAUACUCUCUAGUGACCGAUAGUGAACCAGUACCGUGAGGGAAAGGUGAAAAGUACCCCGGAAGGGGAGUGAAAGAGAACUUGAAACCGUGUGCUUACAAGUAGUCAGAGCCCGUUAAUGGGUGAUGGCGUGCCUUUUGUAGAAUGAACCGGCGAGUUACGAUCUGAUGCAAGGUUAAGCAGGA